UACAGAGGUGGCAAGCGUUGUUCGGAAUUACUGGGCGUAAAGGGCGCGUAGGCGGCCAUCUAAGUCAGACGUGAAAUCCCCCGGCUUAACCUGGGAACUGCGUCUGAUACUGGAAGGCUUGAGUAUGGGAGAGGGAUGUAGAAUUCCAGGUGUAGCGGUGAAAUGCGUAGAUAUCUACAGGAACUCCGGUGGCGAAAGCGGCGUGCUGGACCUUUUCUGACGCUGAGGCGCGAAAGCUAGGGGAGCAAGCGGG
RNAcentral lists this ribosomal RNA (253 nucleotides) under uncultured bacterium. RNAcentral's name for it is "partial 16S ribosomal RNA". It matches the Rfam family "Bacterial small subunit ribosomal RNA", at positions 524 to 776 of the family's 1533-position model. The record is from RNAcentral.